This 409-nucleotide ribosomal RNA is filed under the name Cyrtopodion sp. 1 RB-2013. RNAcentral's name for it is "partial 12S ribosomal RNA". It matches the Rfam family "Bacterial small subunit ribosomal RNA", at positions 780 to 1388 of the family's 1533-position model. The record is from RNAcentral. Lineage: Eukaryota; Metazoa; Chordata; Lepidosauria; Squamata; Gekkonidae.
AGAUACCCCACUAUGCUUAGCCCUAAACCUAGAUAGUGCCACAACCAACUAUUCGCCAGAGAACUACCAGCAACUAGCUUAAAACUCAAAAGACUUGACGGUGUCCCACAUCAGCCUAGAGGAGCCUGUCCUAUAAUCGAUACUCCACGCUAUACCUCACCCGCCCUUGCAAUACAGUCUAUAUACCGCCGUCCCCACUUACCUAAUGAUAGAAUAAUAAUAAGUAAAACAGUCCCAUCACUAAUACGUCAGGUCAAGGUGUAACUUAUGAGCGGGCAGAGAUGGGCUACAUUCUCUAAUAACAAGAUCACCACCCCGGACACCAUGAAAAUAUGGGCCCUUAAGGAGGAUUUAGUAGUAAGACCGGGCAAGACCAGCCCAACUGAAACAUGCUCUGGGACGCGUACAC